Molecule: long non-coding RNA, 229 nt
Filed under: Lathyrus oleraceus (garden pea)
Lineage: Eukaryota; Viridiplantae; Streptophyta; Magnoliopsida; Fabales; Fabaceae
Description: Pisum sativum (pea) long non-coding RNA (PSAT_LNC020100)
Source: RNAcentral
UUGUUGUUGAACUGGUGCUGAUUGGUUUGCUGAAAACACAGGGACUACGAAAGAUACUUGAUGAUGAUGUUGACGGGGUGGUUGACUUCUUCUAAUCUGAGGCAUCCUUUGCCUCCCACUUGAAAUUUCAUUAGCUUCACUGUCUUUCUUCUUAUCAAAACUGCCGCCGUAUCUCUUGUUGGACGAUACCUCCUCUCUAGACAACUGUCCUUCUCGUACACCUUCUUCU